RNAcentral lists this transfer RNA (71 nucleotides) under Loxodonta africana (African savanna elephant). It matches the Rfam family "tRNA". Rfam says of the family: Transfer RNA (tRNA) molecules are approximately 80 nucleotides in length. Lineage: Eukaryota; Metazoa; Chordata; Mammalia; Proboscidea; Elephantidae. The record is from Rfam by way of RNAcentral.
ACAACAGUGGCUCAGUGGUAGAAUUCUCGCCUUCCAUGCAGGAGACCCAGGUUCAAAUCCUGGCCAGUGCA